Non-coding RNA from Zootermopsis nevadensis, 182 nucleotides. NCBI's taxonomy places the organism in Eukaryota, Metazoa, Arthropoda, Insecta, Blattodea, Termopsidae. The record is from RefSeq and is a predicted model, not a curated record.
UCUCAAGUAAAGGAGGAAGCUGUGCCAGUUGCAACAGGAUUAACAAAAUGAAGAAGCAGGAGAAUCAAAACCGAGGUGCCAUAAAAAAAUUCCGAAUGCAAUGGCGGCAACAACAACCACUAACACGGGAGGAACAAGAGCUAAUAAAAAUAAGAAAGGGGGGGAAAAAAAAAAAAAAAAAA